Molecule: ribosomal RNA, 253 nt
Filed under: uncultured Bacteroides sp.
Lineage: Bacteria; Pseudomonadati; Bacteroidota; Bacteroidia; Bacteroidales; Bacteroidaceae
Description: partial 16S ribosomal RNA
Rfam family: Bacterial small subunit ribosomal RNA
Source: RNAcentral
UACGGAGGAUCCGAGCGUUAUCCGGAUUUAUUGGGUUUAAAGGGAGCGUAGGUGGAUUGUUAAGUCAGUUGUGAAAGUUUGCGGCUCAACCGUAAAAUUGCAGUUGAAACUGGCAGUCUUGAGUACAGUAGAGGUGGGCGGAAUUCGUGGUGUAGCGGUGAAAUGCGUAGAUAUUUGGAAGAACACCGAUGGCGAAGGCAGCCCCCUGGGACGCAACUGACGCUCAUACACGAAAGCGUGGGGAGCAAACAGG